AGCCCUCAGCGUACAUGCCAGCUAAUUACAGAUGCAGGAGCAAACCCCUGGCCCAUACAUCAAUUUUGAGUCUUGCUCUAUGGCCCAGACUGGAGUGCAGUGGCGUGAUCUCAGCUCACUUCAACCUCCACCUCCCGGGUUCGAGAGAGAUUCUCCUGCCUCAUCCUCCCGAGUAGCUGGGAUCACCGGCGCCCACAACCACACCCGGCUAAUUUUUGUACUUUUAGUGGAGACAGGGUUUCACCAUGUUGGCUAGGCUGGUCACAAACUCCCGACCUCAGGUUAUCCAUCUGCCUUGGCCUCCCAAAGUGCUGGGAUUACAGGCGUGAGCCCCCGCACCUGGCCAAGAUCAGCUAGAUUUUGGAAGCAUUGCCUUCUACAGAAUCCACAGUAGUCCGAAGCUCUUCUACGGUUUUUGUCAAACUUUGAUUUUCCAUCUCUAGCUUCAAUAAUCUACUUGAUGUCAACUCAUUCACCUCAUGGCCCAGGGAUUUCUGGGGUGCUAUAAUAUUGAAAAAUACACCAUUGUAUUUACUCUUUACUGUUUUUACUAUGUUUACUCUUUACUAUUUAAAAAGUUGAGUGUAUAUGCAUUGCAUCAUCUGAUCCUUAACUUUAUUAAAAAUUCAAUGAGGUUAUAUAA
This 643-nucleotide long non-coding RNA is filed under the name Homo sapiens (human). Its description in RNAcentral is "HSALNT0031767". The record is from RNAcentral. Lineage: Eukaryota; Metazoa; Chordata; Mammalia; Primates; Hominidae.